AGGAACUCGUCAGCAUAGGCUUGGCUGCGCUGAUCCACUGAAUCAAUAAGGAAGGGCCCCGCGGGGUUUGCAGACGGCAGGUAGGAGGAGAAGGAGGGGACAGGAACGGAGGCAGCGGAACAUCCAUCAGGAGCAGGACACCGGGCCAGGACUAUGAACUACUAUCAAAGACAGUGGUGUCUGAGCAAAGCCACAGAGAGACUACUUCCGGAAACUAAGAGCGAGUACGGAAACGCAUGUGGGACAAACG
Long non-coding RNA from Cynoglossus semilaevis (tongue sole), 250 nucleotides. RefSeq lists it as uncharacterized. NCBI's taxonomy places the organism in Eukaryota, Metazoa, Chordata, Actinopteri, Pleuronectiformes, Cynoglossidae. The transcript has 3 exons. The record is from RefSeq and is a predicted model, not a curated record.